Molecule: ribosomal RNA, 558 nt
Filed under: uncultured bacterium
Lineage: Bacteria
Description: bacterial SSU rRNA
Rfam family: Bacterial small subunit ribosomal RNA
Source: RNAcentral
CCUCGGGAGGCAGCAGUGGGGAAUAUUGGACAAUGGGGGCAACCCUGAUCCAGCAAUGCCGCGUGUGUGAUGAAGGCCUUAGGGUUGUAAAGCACUUUCACUGGUGAAGAUGAUGACGGUAACCAGAGAAGAAGCCCCGGCUAACUUCGUGCCAGCAGCCGCGGUAAUACGAAGGGGGCGAGCGUUGUUCGGAAUUACUGGGCGUAAAGGGCGCGUAGGCGGUCUUUUAAGUUAGGCGUGAAAUCCCCGGGCUCAACCUGGGAACUGCGCUUAAGACUGGAAGACUAGAAAACGGAAGAGGGUAGUGGAAUUCCCAGUGUAGAGGUGAAAUUCGUAGAUAUUGGGAAGAACACCAGUGGCGAAAGCGGCUACCUGGUCCGAUUUUGACGCUGAGGCGCGAAAGCGUGGGGAGCAAACAGGAUUAGAUACCCUGGUAGUCCACGCCGUAAACGAUGUCUGCUAGAUGUCGGGGGGUUGCCCCUCGGUGUCGCCGCUAACGCAUUAAGCAGACCGCCUGGGAAGUACGGUCGCAAGAUUAAAACUCAAAGGAAUUGACGG